AGUGUUACAAACACCAUCCCUAGGGUGCCUUUAUACAUAUCAAAAGCCAUGCCGAUGAUAACAGUUAUGAACCCCUCGUGAAAGUCAAUCAAAAUAGAACUUUAUGCCUUUAAGAAAGUAUAGGUACCAAUACUGAUUAUUUAAUGAUUAGCCUUGGAGGCCUCCUUCUCGUGAUAGACAAGAGCAUCAAAGAAGCUUGGUUCUUGUUCCAUUGGAGUACCACGUGGACAACUUUUUGGAGGUCCUGUUGGAUUUCUAUGUCGGGUGUACCAUGUACGCCUCCUUCCCCUCCAACGGGCUAAUCCUUGCACGUGUUGACGCAGUGACUGGAGGUAGAAGAAGAAGUAAAGAUAAAACACACUGGACACAGGUGUUUCCGACGCUACAACGCCACGCGUAAGGAGCGGUUAAUCUUUCCUGCAGCUCGAACUGCUAGCCCCAUGUUACUGUCAUUCAUGGCUAUGAGAUUUAUACCCAGCUGGCGCACGUACUACUCAGCCCACCCCGCUCCGUUACGAUCCCACGAUCUACAUGUCCGGUCCCCGCGCGCUCCCACGACACGCACAUCACGACUGUUACAAGAAACCGCUGACCAAGCCAGCUAGCUAACCAAUACGGCUGCACACCACGCCACACAUACAUGCACACACAUGCACCCCACACACGCACACAUGGACGCCACGCUGUCGUGACCCAACCCGCGGACCCGACCUAACGCACCGAUGACGGUCGCACCUGUCACCAAAUCACCCCCUAAGUCGUGACCUAGAGGAGUAUCAGUCCGACAUCGUCGUCGAUGUCGCCUUGAACGCCCCCGCCCGAUGAUGUGAC
This 831-nucleotide long non-coding RNA is filed under the name Hordeum vulgare. RNAcentral's name for it is "long non-coding RNA (HVUL_LNC012329)". Lineage: Eukaryota; Viridiplantae; Streptophyta; Magnoliopsida; Poales; Poaceae. The record is from RNAcentral.